RNAcentral lists this ribosomal RNA (1491 nucleotides) under uncultured bacterium. RNAcentral describes it as "bacterial SSU rRNA". It matches the Rfam family "Bacterial small subunit ribosomal RNA". The record is from RNAcentral.
UAGAGUUUGAUCCUGGCUCAGGAUGAACGCUAGCUACAGGCUUAACACAUGCAAGUCGAGGGGCAGCAUGGUCUUAGCUUGCUAAGGCCGAUGGCGACCGGCGCACGGGUGAGUAACACGUAUCCAACCUGCCGUCUACUCUUGGACAGCCUUCUGAAAGGAAGAUUAAUACAAGAUGGCAUCAUGAGUCCACAUGUUCACAUGAUUAAAGGUAUUCCGGUAGACGAUGGGGAUGCGUUCCAUUAGAUAGUAGGCGGGGUAACGGCCCACCUAGUCUUCGAUGGAUAGGGGUUCUGAGAGGAAGGUCCCCCACAUUGGAACUGAGACACGGUCCAAACUCCUACGGGAGGCAGCAGUGAGGAAUAUUGGUCAAUGGGCGAGAGCCUGAACCAGCCAAGUAGCGUGAAGGAUGACUGCCCUAUGGGUUGUAAACUUCUUUUAUAAAGGAAUAAAGUCGGGUAUGCAUACCCGUUUGCAUGUACUUUAUGAAUAAGGAUCGGCUAACUCCGUGCCAGCAGCCGCGGUAAUACGGAGGAUCCGAGCGUUAUCCGGAUUUAUUGGGUUUAAAGGGAGCGUAGAUGGAUGUUUAAGUCAGUUGUGAAAGUUUGCGGCUCAACCGUAAAAUUGCAGUUGAUACUGGAUGUCUUGAGUACAGUUGAGGCAGGCGGAAUUCGUGGUGUAGCGGUGAAAUGCUUAGAUAUCACGAAGAACUCCGAUUGCGAAGGCAGCCUGCUAAGCUGCAACUGACAUUGAGGCUCGAAAGUGUGGGUAUCAAACAGGAUUAGAUACCCUGGUAGUCCACACGGUAAACGAUGAAUACUCGCUGUUUGCGAUAUACUGCAAGCGGCCAAGCGAAAGCGUUAAGUAUUCCACCUGGGGAGUACGCCGGCAACGGUGAAACUCAAAGGAAUUGACGGGGGCCCGCACAAGCGGAGGAACAUGUGGUUUAACUCGAUGAUACGCGAGGAACCUUACCCGGGCUUAAAUUGCAGAUGAAUUACGGUGAAAGCCGUAAGCCGCAAGGCAUCUGUGAAGGUGCUGCAUGGUUGUCGUCAGCUCGUGCCGUGAGGUGUCGGCUUAAGUGCCAUAACGAGCGCAACCCUUGUUGUCAGUUACUAACAGGUUCUGCUGAGGACUCUGACAAGACUGCCAUCGUAAGAUGUGAGGAAGGUGGGGAUGACGUCAAAUCAGCACGGCCCUUACGUCCGGGACUACACACGUGUUACAAUGGGGGGUACAGAGGGCCGCUACCACGCGAGUGGAUGCCAAUCCCAAAAACCUCUCUCAGUUCGGACUGGAGUCUGCAACCCGACUCCACGAAGCUGGAUUCGCUAGUAAUCGCGCAUCAGCCACGGCGCGGUGAAUACGUUCCCGGGCCUUGUACACACCGCCCGUCAAGCCAUGGGAGCCGGGGGUACCUGAAGUGCGUAACCGCGAGGAGCGCCCUAGGGUAAAACUGGUGACUGGGGCUAAGUCGUAACAAGGUAACCG